This is a long non-coding RNA of Sparus aurata (gilthead seabream), 1224 nucleotides long. The record is from Ensembl. Lineage: Eukaryota; Metazoa; Chordata; Actinopteri; Spariformes; Sparidae.
UUGCUGCCAUUGGAGCUGUAGCAGGAGGAUUAGGAGCUUUGGUCGUGGCUCCUGCUGCUCUGACUGCAGUAGGUUUCACUUCCGCUGGAAUAGCUGCAGGCUCCUGUGCUGCUAGCUUGAUGUCAUCUGCUGCAGCUGCCGGUGGAGGAGGAGUGGCAGCAGGAAGUGUGGUGGCUGUUUUGCAGUCAGUAGGUGCAGCUGGUGUGUCAGCGGCUACCGCUGUAGCUUCAUCUGCUGUUGGAGCAGCAGCAGGGGCGGUGCUCUCAGCCGUGGCUAACUCAACUGGAACCACCUAAAGAUCUACAGCGUGGAUAUAUAUUAUUAAACUUUGGGUGAGUGAUUCUAUAGAAAGAUGGUUUAUGGUUGAGUCUCAUUCCCAGGUCGACAAGCUUUGGGUUGGUGGCUCAGUCAGAGACACUAUUGUUUAUUGUUGAGUCUCAUUCAUACAUUGUCAAAUAUGGACAACUUAGGAAUGAGACUCAGCAAUCAAACUUUUUUAGGGAAUUGCUCACCCUUUCUUUAGAGGCUACUGCAAUUUAUAUCAAGCAAUGUUGUCAUCCAAACAGCUGACAUUUUUGUGCAAUAAAUCUGUAAAACCUCCCACUUCAAUGUGUCGUCUGUAAAUAUUUUCAUUCCACAUAAAUUCAUGGAAGCUUAUUUGUGAAUUUAUUUGCAAGUUAAACAUAUUAUAUAGUUAUAUUAUAUAGUCUGGUUGGCACCACGGGCAAACAAAAAUGGAAGUUCCCCCUCCGUGAAACAGCGAGCGGAGCUGUUCAACACGAAUGACUGUGUACUCUGACUGUGUAGCAGCGAAAUCCGGGGAAGAAUGUCUGCAUCCUGAGCACCUGCACACAGCUGUGGACACCCUUAGUGGGGCGAAGGCAAGACCAGUCUGUGAUGUACUAUAACAACACGAAGUACGGUGAGGACGUCCCGGACCAGAUGGCGAGGGCGUACUGCGUCAAAGGCAGUAUAGAAGAUGGCCAGUGGUGGUCUCCUAUAACAUCCUCGACCUGGCUGGGAUCAAUGCCCGCAUCUUAUUCAAGGAGCACCAGCAGCAGGAGAGCCCGGAGGCACAAGGUGGUCAGCAGCGAAGCAACCACCGCAGCAGCAGCAGACACGGAGGCAGUGCCGGUCCGAAAGAGCUGCAAACGGAACCAAACGUCGGACACUUGGAAUGCCACAAGCCCAUGUGUUGUAAUUCUGCGAAGAGAGCAGAGGUAA